Molecule: small RNA, 82 nt
Filed under: Flavobacterium segetis
Lineage: Bacteria; Pseudomonadati; Bacteroidota; Flavobacteriia; Flavobacteriales; Flavobacteriaceae
Description: Flavo-1 RNA
Rfam family: Flavo-1 RNA
Source: RNAcentral
CGCUAGCUCUGAUAGUAGUAUAAAUUUUUUUUUGAGCCUUUAUCGGCUAAUGAAAAGAUUGCAGCGGAUAGCAGUAAAUAAG